UGGGGAAUAUUGGACAAUGGGGGCAACCCUGAUCCAGCCAUGCCGCGUGUGUGAAGAAGGCCUUUUGGUUGUAAAGCACUUUAAGCGAGGAGGAGGCUACUUAGAUUAUACUCUGAGAUAGUGGACGUUACUCGCAGAAUAAGCACCGGCUAACUCUGUGC
Molecule: ribosomal RNA, 161 nt
Filed under: uncultured bacterium
Lineage: Bacteria
Description: partial 16S ribosomal RNA
Rfam family: Bacterial small subunit ribosomal RNA
Source: RNAcentral